RNAcentral lists this ribosomal RNA (253 nucleotides) under uncultured bacterium. RNAcentral describes it as "partial 16S ribosomal RNA". It matches the Rfam family "Bacterial small subunit ribosomal RNA", at positions 524 to 776 of the family's 1533-position model. The record is from RNAcentral.
UACGUAGGGUGCAAGCGUUGUCCGGAAUUAUUGGGCGUAAAGAGCUCGUAGGCGGUCUGUCGCGUCGGCUGUGAAAACCCGGGGCUCAACCCCGGGCCUGCAGUCGAUACGGGCAGACUAGAGUGCGGUAGGGGAGACUGGAAUUCCUGGUGUAGCGGUGAAAUGCGCAGAUAUCGGGAGGAACACCAGUGGCGAAGGCGGGUCUCUGGGCCGAUACUGACGCUGAGGAGCGAAAGCGUGGGGAGCGAACAGG